GCUAAUUUCUCAGUUACAGACCUGCAGUAGUGGAAGGGUGAACUGGAGUUUGGUCUUUUCACCCUCAUGGCAGAGUAAGAAGGAAUGAGAACUCCUUCCCUAGGCCCUGUACCUCCUCCAAGCCCACAGCCUGGCUCUGCACGUAGGAGAAUGUGUGAAUGCUGUAACUCUCGUCCACUUCCAAAGCAGAAGAAUUGAAUCAACUGAAAUGAGGAAAAAUAAAAGAAGAAAAAGAGUGUUUAAGGGGAGACUGCAGCCAGAAGGAAGCUGGGUGCAAGGCCGUGCCUAUUAAUGGAGAUUGCUUCUGCUUCUUAAAAGGACUAUUAUUUGCAACCUCUGCUGCCUCCAGCUAUAGACGAAGGCUAUCCUUGACCUCCCCAGCUUGUUCAGCACCAGACACUAACCAGACACACCUGGAUCCACUGCUGAGUUUUCUGGGUGUCAGACCAUCCUGGAACCAAGAACCUCAAGCAUGUUUCAUCCUCUGGUUUCCCUGAAACUUUUAGUUACACCUUGAAGUUACUGGAAUACAUGUUCUGUUCAAGUAACCAUAUAUAAACUUUUCAUAGAGAUCAGCUGAGACCUCAUGGCAGAAAUCUCAUUUGAUACAACUGGAAAUUACUUCACCUUGGCUCAAACCACAACACAACAGAUACCUUCUCCUCCUUCUCCAGCCCUGCUAGUCUGUCGCUUAGAAAUAUCUUCCAAGAGAUGAUGCUGGUUUUGUACUGAAAGUUGUAUCUUUCAGUCUUUGUUACCUUUAUCACAGAUGCCAA
Long non-coding RNA from Pyrgilauda ruficollis (rufous-necked snowfinch), 776 nucleotides. RefSeq lists it as uncharacterized. The record is from RefSeq and is a predicted model, not a curated record. Lineage: Eukaryota; Metazoa; Chordata; Aves; Passeriformes; Passeridae. The transcript has 7 exons.